Molecule: long non-coding RNA, 1209 nt
Organism: Carassius gibelio (silver crucian carp)
Lineage: Eukaryota; Metazoa; Chordata; Actinopteri; Cypriniformes; Cyprinidae
Exons: 2
Source: RefSeq, a predicted model, not a curated record
GAUGAAAGAGUGCUAAAAUUCAAAAAAUGCACUUUAAGGAUGCUUGAUAUAUUCAAAGAAAAGGCUCUGAAAAUUUUAAAAAUUACAAAAUAAACAGAAGGGAGGAGCUUUUAAUUCUAGAAAAUUAAAUUGAGCUCAGAGAAGAAAACAUUUAUUUUACACAAGUCAUGCCUGAAGAAGACACAGAAAGCUGUCGAAACGUCGCGAUAAAAGGCUUGUGUACUUGUAUAUAGUUUAAAAUCUCAUAUUUUAGGCAAAAACAAAUAGUUUAAAGUUAAUGAUGGAUUCUUUUAUUACAAACACACAGCUUUUUGCUUCACAUGACGUUAAUUGAUGGACUGGAGUCAUGUGGAUUACUUGUGGAUUAUUGUGAUGGUCAUGUGGAUUAAUAUGUGUUGUAAAAUAAAACAAAGGGGUGCUAAAAACACAAAUAAGUGUGUGAAAGUAAAAAAAAAAAUGGGUCUGUGAAGAUAGUAACACAAAAAAGUGUACACUAAAACAAAAAAAUUAAACUUAUUAGAGUGUGUAAGUGUACAGUGUCUGCGUUCUCUUUGCCCCCAUAAUUUUUCUCUGCCCAGGAAGAGGCCACCUCGAAGGCCCGAGGCCAAUUUGUUUAUUUUUGAAUUUUUAAUAUUUUUAAUUUUUUUGUUUUAGUGUACACUUUUUUGUGUUACUAUCUUCACAGACCCAUUUAUUUUUUUUUACUUUCACACACUUAGUUGUGUUUUUAGCACCCCUUUGUUUUAUUUUACUAAACAUAUUAAUCCACAUGACCAUCACAAUAAUCCACAAGUAAUCCACAUGACUCCAGUCCAUCAAUUAACGUCACGUGAAGCAAAAAUCUGUGUGUUUGUAAUAAAAGAAUCCAUCAUUAACUUUGAACUAUUUGUUUUUGCCUAAAAUAUAAAAAAAAUUCAAAAUUCAAAAAUAAACAAAUUGGCCUCGGGCCUUCGAGGUGGCCUCUUCCUGGGCAGAGAAAAAUUAUGGGGGCAAAGUGAACGCAGACACUGUAGAACAAGCAGAAGCUCUUAUCACAGCUGAAUUGUUUGAGGAGGAAACAGUGCCACAUCCACAAAGCCCAGGAAAUCAGGGACCAGCGGGCCCUCACACAUAUGCGCAAGUGGCAGCCUCCAGACCCCCAACUGCUACAGUAGCUCCCCCUACUAAAAAAUUAAAUUGAGCUCAGAGAAGAAAACAUUUAUUUUAUUU